Arabidopsis lyrata subsp. lyrata is the source of this 422-nucleotide long non-coding RNA. RefSeq lists it as uncharacterized. Lineage: Eukaryota; Viridiplantae; Streptophyta; Magnoliopsida; Brassicales; Brassicaceae. The transcript is spliced from 4 exons. The record is from RefSeq and is a predicted model, not a curated record.
UUUUUUAUAUAAGAAGAGAAACAUGAGGCGAUGUUUCGAAAUGGGCGCGAGCUAGAAAACGAGGUUGGGAAAGGCUUAUCUAAAGAUGAAAAGACUCAAAAAUUAGCUCUUUAGCAUUGGCUUGAAGUUAUUGACCCACAUCAUCGUUAUGGCCACAACUUGCACUUCUAUUAUGAUGUCUGGUCAGCGAGCAAGAGCUCACAUCCAUUCUUUUACCGCCAUGGUGAAUUAUAUAGUGAAGCAAUACAAUGUUGCAAUGGAAGGAGAUACGACAUUGGUCGCAGUGGAGAGCAUUGGUAUACGGAAUAGAAAAUGAGUCAAGAUCAUUAGUGAUUCAAAAUUGGUCAAUUAAAUUCCGAUAUAUAAUGGUUGGUCCAUCAUGUAUAUUUUAUUUUAAAAUUAAUAUUAAAAUUAUUUGAUAA